Molecule: unclassified non-coding RNA, 253 nt
Filed under: uncultured Flavobacteriaceae bacterium
Lineage: Bacteria; Pseudomonadati; Bacteroidota; Flavobacteriia; Flavobacteriales; Flavobacteriaceae
Description: contains 16S-23S intergenic spacer region
Rfam family: Bacterial small subunit ribosomal RNA
Source: RNAcentral
UACGGAGGAUCCGAGCGUUAUCCGGAAUCAUUGGGUUUAAAGGGUCCGUAGGCUGGACAAUCAGUCAGUGGUGAAAGUUUGUGGCUCAACCAUAAAAUUGCCAUUGAUACUGUUGUUCUUGAGUUAUUGUGAAGUGGUUAGAAUGUGUAGUGUAGCGGUGAAAUGCAUAGAUAUUACACAGAAUACCAAUUGCGAAGGCAGAUCACUAACAAUGAACUGACGCUGAUGGACGAAAGCGUAGGUAGCGAACAGG